Molecule: RNA transcript, 2904 nt
Organism: Ipomoea triloba (trilobed morning glory)
Lineage: Eukaryota; Viridiplantae; Streptophyta; Magnoliopsida; Solanales; Convolvulaceae
Gene name: ATP-dependent DNA helicase PIF1-like
Exons: 3
Source: RefSeq, a predicted model, not a curated record
GAUUUUGUGAUUUAUCUAUGUUAUUAUGUAGUAAUUAAGGGUUUAAAUUGUAUAGUUAAGUUCGUAUUUGAAGUUGAAUUCCUCAAAAAUAUUGAUCAAUUUUUUUUUGUGCAAAAAUCUAUGUUUUCUUAGGCUAUUUGUAAUAUUUCCUUCAUCUAUUUUGAAUCCCAACCUAGAUAAGUAUUUUCCUAAAUUUUUUCAACUCACAUUCUGAGCUGUUCCAUAAUUUGUAAUCUAAAAGUUAUACUGCUUCUUAUUUGUUUUUGCUACGAAUUCAUGUACUAUCCAGGAUUUUGCUAUGGUUGUUGCAUAUUUGCUAUGAAAAGCUAGUCACAUUCACUUAGACCUAAACUGCUGUCAUAUAUAUUACUCUGGUUUUGCUAUGGAUCUUGCUAUGGCUGUCGUAUUUGUUUAACAAUUUUAUUACCUCUGGACCCUGUAUGAGUACCCAGCUAAGUAUUUGGACAUGAUAAGUUAAUUGGGUAGUUGAUUCCUAAUAGUCUCUAACUGCUUUAAAAGGACUGUUAAUCUAAACUAAUUGAGAUGAUAUUAGAAACAAUGAUCCUCUAAAAAUUAGAUGAGACAAUGCUCAUCUGAAUGUAAUUGAAUAAUCUCGAAACUGAAAGCAAUAAUUAUAAGAUGAGAUAUAUGAGCGAGCGAGCAGUGAUUGUUCUUCCCCUUAGUAAUUUGAAUUGGUAAUCUGUAUAUUCAAUUACUUAAAUUUUGCACUUGAGCAACCGUACUAUGCGCUAUCUUUAGAGAUUAACCUUUAAAGGUUUCCUUUCAUUGGAAACUAUUGCUUUUAUGUUCUCUUAGAUUGGUCUCAGAAUCAAGUUAUACACAGCUCUUUGGUUAUGUGUGUUUGGACAAAUAUUCUUAAUUUCCAGCAAACACCAAAUUUCAAACUACUUGUAGGUUUACUUAUGUAUAACCUUUUUCAGAUUUAACUGUAAUUAUCCUUUUUCCAUUUAAAUUACUUGUCCUCUUUACUUUUACAUAUUAUUUGGUUCUUGCUGUCUGUAAGAAGUUCACAUAAACUGAGUUAAAGUUUCAAACAAUGACACUGUUUUUAAAUUACAGCUUGAUAUCUGACAUUAGUUGAAUUAUUUUGUUGAGUUCUUUCUCUAAUGGGGAGAUCCUGUUUUUCAAAUUUAUUUUUAAUAGUUUUUUGUUUAUAAUUUAAACAGAGUUUAUUGAACUUAGCACAUUUCACAAAACUGUUUGUUGCUUUCUCUAAAAUACUCUAUUUUUAAUUUGCAAUAAUGUUAUAGGAAUAAGAUUUAAUUUAGUAUUUGUUCUUUGGUUUUUGAUUACCAUUUCCAGAACUGAAUUCUCUAAUACUUUAUUUUCCUGAUUACAUAGCUGCAAAUCAGGUUUCUGGAGUGUUGACAAACAUAUGUACAUUCUUCAUAGCAUAUCCAUAAUUAGGAACUGUAAUAUUUGAAAUGAUCCAAGAGCUUUCUUGUUGAAGCAUUUCCUUCAGUUGAAUGGGCCUCCUUUGGAAGAUCAAAUUGAACAGAUUCUGAAGAGUGGCAUUCUUGCAGAAGAGGUAAAACUUUUGUUUGGAAAGCACUAUCUUCGAAGAUAUGGUCGGAAGGUGAUAUUGUCAUAAAUGUUGCAUCAAGUGGUAUUGCAUCAUUGCUUCUUCCAGGAGGUCGAAUAGCUCACUCAAGGUUUGCCAUACCAAUCGCAGUUAACGAGGACUCCACGUGCAACAUUAGCCAAGGUAGUCACCUGGCGGAAUUGCUAAUCAAAGCCAAACUAAUCAUAUGGGAUGAAGCACCAAUGAUGCACAAACACUGUUUUGAGGCGCUGGAUAAGGCUAUGUGUGACCUGUUGCGAUUCAGUGACCCUCAUAGCGUGCAUAAGACAUUUGGUGGUAAGACGGUGGUAUUAGGCGGUGACUUCCGACAAAUAUUGCCAGUUGUUCCUAAAGGUUCUAGGCAAGAUAUUGUUUCAGCUACAAUCAACUCAUCCUACCUUUGGGAAUCAUGUCAGGUCCCGCGUCUAACCAAAAAUCUACGGCUCAAAACACUUGAUGCAUGUGCUAGCAAACAAAAUAUUGAACAGUUUGCAUCAUGGUUGGGUGAUAUAGGAAAUGGAACAUUAGGCGGACCUAAUGAUGGAUCAUGCAAAAGUUGAAAUUCCUAAAGAAAUGUUAUUGCCAUCAAAUGGUGACUACAUAUCUACAAUAGUUGAUAGUGUAUUUCUAAUGUUCAGGCAUGGCGGGUCAGACUUACAACAAAUGGAGAAUCGUGCCAUCCUAGCGCCAACACUGGAUGUGGUAAAUGCGGUCAAUGAAUAUAUGAGUGAUUUGCAUGUUGCUGAGAGCAAGACAUACCUAAAUUGUGACACUGUGUGUAAGUCUGACACAACAAAUGGUAUACUAUAUGAUAUGCACACUCCUGAAUUCUUAAUUGGGUUGAAAGCUUCUGGCACACCGAACCAUUCUUUAACUUUGAAGAAUGGAUCUCCGGUAAUGUUGUUGAGAAAUAUAGAUCACUCAAUGGGUCUUUGUAAUGGUACAAGACUUAUCAUUACUAGGUUAUCUGAUUAUGUUGUAGAAGCAAAGAUUGUCGGAGGCCACAAUGCCGGUAAUGUCGUGCUGAUACCAAGGAUGUCAAUGACUCCAACUGAUACAAGAUUGCCAUUUAAAUUUCAAAGAAGGCAAUUUCCCCUAAUACUAUCAUAUGCAAUGACUAUCAACAAAAGUCAAGGAUUGACUUUAACACAUGUCGACUUACUAUUAAAGAAGCCGGUUUUUGUUCAUGGUCAACUAUAUGUUGCUGCUUCAAGGAUUAGUAACUCUGCUGGGUUAAAAAUUCUAAUACCCAAUGAAGGUGGUGACUAUAGUAACUAUACUACGAAUGUUGUGUACCAUGAAGUUUUUAAUAAUUUAUAACU